Molecule: transfer RNA, 75 nt
Filed under: Conchiformibius kuhniae
Lineage: Bacteria; Pseudomonadati; Pseudomonadota; Betaproteobacteria; Neisseriales; Neisseriaceae
Description: tRNA-OTHER
Rfam family: tRNA
About the family: Transfer RNA (tRNA) molecules are approximately 80 nucleotides in length. Their secondary structure includes four short double-helical elements and three loops (D, anti-codon, and T loops).
Source: RNAcentral
GGCGGAAUGGCAGAGUGGUUAUGCAGCGGUUCUGCAAAGCCGUGUACGCCGGUUCGAUUCCGACUUCCGCCUCCA